GGCGAGGUAGCUCAGUUGGUAGAGCAAAGGACUCAUAAGCCUUGGGUCGAGGGUUCGAGCCCCUCCUUCGCCACCA
This 76-nucleotide transfer RNA is filed under the name Kiritimatiellia bacterium. RNAcentral describes it as "Kiritimatiellae bacterium (gut metagenome) tRNA-Met". It matches the Rfam family "tRNA". Rfam says of the family: Transfer RNA (tRNA) molecules are approximately 80 nucleotides in length. Their secondary structure includes four short double-helical elements and three loops (D, anti-codon, and T loops). Further hydrogen bonds mediate the characteristic L-shaped molecular structure. tRNAs have two regions of fundamental functional importance: the anti-codon, which is responsible for specific mRNA codon recognition, and the 3' end, to which the tRNAs corresponding amino acid is attached (by aminoacyl-tRNA synthetases). tRNAs cope with the degeneracy of the genetic code in two manners: having more than one tRNA (with a specific anti-codon) for a particular amino acid; and 'wobble' base-pairing, i.e. permitting non-standard base-pairing at the 3rd anti-codon position. The record is from RNAcentral. Lineage: Bacteria; Pseudomonadati; Kiritimatiellota; Kiritimatiellia.